AUGGACGCCCGGACGAGCGCUGUGACCUCGGAACGUUGUUGGGACUUGGCUGGGGGUGAAAACGCCGGCGGCGGCGCCUCCUUCCCCGGCGGCUGGCUCCGGCGUCUGUCCCGCGAGCUGCGCUGGAGCUUCGUGCUCGCCGUCGUGGCCGUCUACGGGGCCUGCCAGGGCGUCGGCGACGCCGUCGGCGGCGUCACGGCGGGGUACUACUGGAAGGACGUGCAGCGCGUGCAGCCGUCGGCGGCGCAGUUCUACCAGGGGUUCGUCAGCGCCCCCUGGGUCGUCAAGCCCAUCUAGGGCCUGCUCACCGACGUCGUCCCCGUCGCCGGCUACCGCCGCCGCCCGUACUUCCUCCUUUCAGGAGUGAUUGGGGCGUCGUCCAUGCUCACGCUCUCUCUCCACCGCAAGCUGGGCAUCAUGCCGGCGAUCUUGGCGCUGACGGCGCAGAGCGCGGGCGCGGCGGUGGCCGACGUGACGGUGGACGCGCUGGUUGCUCAGAACAGCAUCACGCACCAGCCGCUAGCCGCAGACAUGCAGAGCCUGUGUGGGUUCAGCUCCUCCGUUGGGGCAUUGCUUGGAUUCUCCAUCAGCGGUCUUCUUGUCCACUCCAUAGGGUCUCAGGGUGCUCUUGGAUUACUAAGCAUCCCUUCUGCACUGGUGUUCUUGGCUGGUGUUUUGCUGAAGGAGAGGCGAGUUACAGAUUUCGAUUACAAGCAGGUUCAUAGGAAAUUCUACAAAGCAAUUCAGUCCAUGGGGGCAACACUGAAGUUUGGCGGCCGUGUGUGUAUAUGUAUGUUUCUCUCAGUCUAAGCCUGGAUAUCCAAGCAGGAAUGUUCUACUGGUACACUGAUCCAAUAGUGGGACCAGGAUUCUCUGAGGAAUUUAUUGGCCUUGUGUAUUCGGUCGGUUCAAUCGGUUCGCUGCUCGGAGUUUUACUAUACCAAAUUUCACUGAAGGACUACCCUUUCCGCGGCGUGCUAUUCUGGGGCCAAGUUCUUUCAAGCCUGGCAGGAAUGCUCAAUCUGAUAAUGGUGACCCGGCUCAACACAAGAAUCGGCAUUCCGGAUUACGUCUUUGCGGUGAUCGACAACAGUGUCUCCCAGAUGGUUGGGAGGCUCAAAUGGUUGCCGCUCCUCGUGCUUUGCUCCAAGCUUUGUCCUCCAGGCAUCGAAGGAACUUUCUAUGCGCUGCUCAUGUCCAUCCAAAAUGCCGGGUUGCUGAUGUCUGGCUGGUGGGGUGGCCUGAUGCUGCACUUGCUGAAUGUGACUCGAACAGAGUUCAGUAACCUCUGGGUUGCCGUCCUGAUCAGAAACUUGUCGAGGCUGCUCCCGCUGAUGCUGCUGUUUCUUGUUCCCCAGAGUGACCAAAACUCAAUGCUCCUCCCGGCAGAGAUGCUUCAGGACAAUGAAUCUACUGAAGCUAGGAAAGGAGGUCAAGACACUGCUGAAUUUUCCGUCCUUGUCGCAGAUGAUUCUAGCUGUCAUGCUCUGAAUGUGGCUGUCGAAGAUGAAAGAAUCAAAGUGGUCGAUGCUGGAACGGGUACUGUGGAGUUGAUUCCUCUCAUGAACGAGCUACAAGACCGUGGGAGUUGACUGACAAGCUCAUGAACAGGAUACUUGUCUUCCAUCCAUGAUUCAUUCUAUACCAAAUUACCAAUGGCGUUCUGGUUCUGUUCUCCACUCUUUGGUAGACUAGUUCUUUAUGUAUCAUCAGCAACAGCACAUCAAUAGGUUAUAGGUGAAACAACAGUUCGUUUUCCUUUCAUUUUUU
Molecule: non-coding RNA, 1770 nt
Organism: Oryza sativa Japonica Group (Japanese rice)
Lineage: Eukaryota; Viridiplantae; Streptophyta; Magnoliopsida; Poales; Poaceae
Source: RefSeq, a predicted model, not a curated record